This 664-nucleotide ribosomal RNA is filed under the name Salmonella enterica subsp. enterica serovar Paratyphi B var. L(+) tartrate +. RNAcentral describes it as "partial 23S ribosomal RNA". It matches the Rfam family "Bacterial large subunit ribosomal RNA", at positions 2259 to 2917 of the family's 2925-position model. Lineage: Bacteria; Pseudomonadati; Pseudomonadota; Gammaproteobacteria; Enterobacterales; Enterobacteriaceae. The record is from RNAcentral.
UGGUGGGUAGUUUGACUGGGGCGGUCUCCUCCUAAAGAGUAACGGAGGAGCACGAAGGUUGGCUAAUCCUGGUCGGACAUCAGGAGGUUAGUGCAAUGGCAUAAGCCAGCUUGACUGCGAGCGUGACGGCGCGAGCAGGUGCGAAAGCAGGUCAUAGUGAUCCGGUGGUUCUGAAUGGAAGGGCCAUCGCUCAACGGAUAAAAGGUACUCCGGGGAUAACAGGCUGAUACCGCCCAAGAGUUCAUAUCGACGGCGGUGUUUGGCACCUCGAUGUCGGCUCAUCACAUCCUGGGGCUGAAGUAGGUCCCAAGGGUAUGGCUGUUCGCCAUUUAAAGUGGUACGCGAGCUGGGUUUAGAACGUCGUGAGACAGUUCGGUCCCUAUCUGCCGUGGGCGCUGGAGAACUGAGGGGGGCUGCUCCUAGUACGAGAGGACCGGAGUGGACGCAUCACUGGUGUUCGGGUUGUCAUGCCAAUGGCACUGCCCGGUAGCUAAAUGCGGAAGAGAUAAGUGCUGAAAGCAUCUAAGCACGAAACUUGCCCCGAGAUGAGUUCUCCCUGAGACUUUAGGUCUCCUGAAGGAACGUUGAAGACGACGACGUUGAUAGGCCGGGUGUGUAAGCGCAGCGAUGCGUUGAGCUAACCGGUACUAAUGAACCGUGAGGC